CCUCCUCGCACCACCUCUGGCACCCAGGUGUCUGCCGGGGGACCUUCCUUCCCUGAGCCUGGCCGUGCCCGGCGCUCAAACUUGACCGCAACUCUUUGUCCCUCUCUCGGGCGGCCGGGGAGGGGAAGGGACCGGGAAGCGAGGGAUGAGCUGGGGUGUCCGGAUCGGGGCUGCCGGCUGGACGCUGCCCCGCCGUGCGCCUGCCCGGAAUGCUGUGAGUCCGUGGAGAGAGAAAGCCCAUUUUAUCACUCUCUUUAAAAGGAGGUAAAAUAAGUUGGUUAGAGGCCAUUCUUCACGGGGACUGGCUGCCCGCUGGCGUCGCGUGCCCUUGGACGGACCGAGCGCCUAUGCGAGAUAACUCCAGGGAAGCUCAAAGUCAGAUCGAUUCUGUUAAAGUGUAUGCAAAAAAGAAAGAAAUAAGAAAGAAAAAGAAAAGAGAAAGAAGAAAACCAACAACUAACUCUGUUUCUAAGAUUUUAAAGCGAUAGGCAAGUCGAAGAAGCAGAGAUUUAUUUGGAGAGAAAUCUCCUGAAACGGACCCGGCCUUUGGAAGACCAGUCCGCCUGCUUAGAAGUUGGGACUGUUGAUUCCUUCAAUUAAUGAAAUGCAUUUGGUGUUGUUAAUCGUAUUUAUUUUACUUUAUGGGCGGGGGGGUGGGGGGAGACUCUAGGAGGGUGCAUUAAAAAAAAAAAAAUUCUGAAAAGCCUGCAAAAAGAUCGAAGAGUGGAAACUAUUGUUGGAGCGAGUUGGUUUUUACCUCAACAGCGCCACCUUUCGGCAAAGGGUUCUUCCUUGGAAAACAAUAUACAUCACUUAAUGAAAUCUGUUUGUUUUGCACAAGAGAUAUAAAAAAUCCAGACGUUUUCUUCAGUGAGAAUUCCUGGGAAGGUGUACCAACCUUCUUCGCUUUCUUCACCUGACAAAGACCCAACACGGCCGCGCAGACUGGAGAAUUCACCUUGUGGAACCUCAGGCUGGAGGAAGUUUGGGGAUCUGAUCUGAACACCGUCCUGCCAACCAGUAUAGGAGCUUGAACCUGGUUUAGAUCACCAACUUCCCUGCCAUUUCCUGAUGCCAAUUUUGAAGCCGGGGAGCUCAGAGGCAUUUUCUUCAACAGAAGAGUUCAGAGUUUCAGUGUCUACCUUUGAGCUACAACUGGUCCCUCAGUGAUGUAAAUAUGCAGGCUGUUGCAGACUCUCCUGUUCCAGGAUCCCACCUCGACCCCUUUCAGAGAAAUCUGGGAAUGAGAGAAGGAACCAGCCCAGAAGUGAUUUAUGACCUGCUGUCUGUGUCCUGCCUGAGGAAGCAUGGCUCUGGCUGUUUCAAGCAGACCCAGCCUGGGAUCCUCAGAGACUGGAAGGAGUGAUGGACACCCGUCAGGGAAACAUCACUGACCGUUGACUCUCAGCUCAGCUUGAAGCUGCUGAUGAGGGGCUAGGCUUGGUCGCUGUCACAGUGAUGUGAGCUCACGCAGUUGGGGCUGGGGAAGAAGGACCGACCAGGAGACACAGCAUCUGAGGUCAGCACCCAGGUCUUCCUCUGACUCACCCUCUGACCUCCUCAAAGCCCUUCACUCUCUUCCUUCAACUCAUUUUUUAGGCUGCAAGUGGACUGAACUGCAUGAAGCAGUUAAAACAAACCUGCUUGCAUGGGAGGAGUGUUCCUAGCCAUUUGAGGCUGAAUACAGGUGUUGUCCUCUCCUUCUGGUCAAGUCUUUUCAACACAGCAGCAGGGAACAGAGUCUCUCACUCAACAGACACUUUCAGAGCUUACAUGGUGAAUAAGAAGAGGAUGGUACUGUCUAGUAAGCUGGCUUUAAAACAUAAACUGGGUCGUGUGACUCACUGUCUGAAAUUGUUCAUCACAACUGGAAUAGAAGCUCAGCUUCUCACUAGGAUCUACAAGGUCCAGAAGCCCUCUGCUUUGCCCUCCAUUCUGAUUAUUUUUCAGUCACUCUGGUCUUUUUUGGACAUUGCCUCUUUCCUGCAUUAAACCCUUGUGCAUAUAAAUUAUUUUCUUUCCUCUGUCUAGAUUGGAACACAGCAUUUUUCAAAUAGCUGGUUAAAUGAAUGAGUGAAUAAAUUGAAUUCAAUAAGCUCAGCGUAUUAACCUACUCAAGGCCACAGAACUGUUUGAUAGCAGAGUCUCUACCAGAUUCUUAUAUCGGAGGGUUUUUGGCUUGUUUUUAAUCUUUGUUCUAGAUGAUUAGCUAAUAUAUUAUAGACCCUCUUCUACCUCUGUAUGACAGUUUCUCAACCUUAGCACCGUUGACGUUAAAGCUGGAUGAUUGUUUGUGGUGGGGGGCUGUUCUGUAAAUUGUAGGGUGUUUAGCAGCAUCUCUGGCCUCUACCCUGUGAUUAGCAACCACUCUCCACAUGUUGUGACAACCAAAAAUGUGUUUAGACAUUGCCAAAUGUCCUUGGGGGACAAAAUCACCCAAUUGAGAACCACUGCUCUACAGCUAUUGUCUUGUUCAAUGAAUAUUGGUGUUAGAACAGCCCAGGGCAUUUUCCAAUCCCUGCUCACCAGAGAGAGACUUGUGUCUGAUUACCCUUUAAUAAGUUGGGAAAUGAGACCAAUAUUAAUUCAGAAGGAAUUUUAACAGUAUAGUCAAACAUACAAAAGGGUUUUAUGAUUAAUUUGUAGUUAAUGAGAGUAUUUAGUCUAUCAGAUUCCCCGUUCUUCCAGAAUUUUGGUUGAUUACUAUGAACUGAGUGAGAUUCCCAACCACACGGGGUCAGGCAGGUGGUGAGAUCUUGCCCUUUAAGGACCCAUUUCCUCAAAGUGUUUUUCUGGGCUGCUUGGGGCAUCCAUUCCCAGGAUCAGAACUUCGCGGCAAUCAGAGCAACAGGAAGGGUGAACAGAAAGAGACCCCAUGACAAACGGGGUCCAUUUUCAAGUAUUUCAUGUUCAUUUCAGCAGCUUGUACCUCUCCCCAUCCAGCCUUAGGACUCAACCUGAGAAGCAGAAAUGAACACAAUUGCACUGAGCCAGUGACUUUCCAGAUCCAUGGUGCUCCUUGGUUCCUGCAGUGCUGUUCAAACUUCGAAAGUGGGGUUGGAGGCUCCGUUAAUAACUCCUGUGAAAAUAUGAGCGAUCUUAGCUGGAAAUGUCUAAGUACAAGAUUCAUCUUUUCCUCCUUGGCAGAAUCAAUAAAUUUGCAUGAUGCAUAUUAAAUGUUUAAUUAAAGCCCAACGCUAAAGCAUUUUCAGGAAGUUAUAUAAGUCCUUUGGAGGGGGUCUGGAAUCCAGGGGUUCUUCUGAGUUUUCCAGGCAUGCCUCCAUCCAUCAGACUCCAGUGUCCACCUUAGUUCUGUUUCUCUUUGGUGCCUGGGUUGUUUUGCAGGUAUGGGAGCUGCUUGAUGUACUGGCGCGACGACAUUCAGAUGACUGUUAGGAUUUUAAACACUGGAGCCUUUAAGGGCAGAAUCACCAAACUCCUUCCUGUUAGGAUCCAUGCUGGUGUCCACCUCUUGUCCCCUCCCACAUUGAGAAGGGAGCUGGGUAUUUAGCACAGAUCCUGUGUUGGAGAAACACAAAGAUCCUAAGAACAAUUUGAAGCUUAAGGGGAGAAAGUGCUUAGAGACAGACUUUUGCUUUUUUGGCUCUAAUUGCCAGCCAGACUGCCUGGGGUCUUGACGUUGGAUGUACUCCCGAGCAGAGAAGCCAGGCUCAGAUGACGUGCCCUAGGUGCCCUCACACUGCAGGAUGAAACCUUAUUUAGUAGCUGUAUUAAUUGAAUCCUCACUUCGCGUGGAUUGAUGGAAUUCAUAUCAGAAUGGCCUCUCGCUGUUGGAGAUGUCCCUCGAUUAUUUCCUCUGCCCUCCAAAACAGGAACUUCCAUUGCUGAAUGUUUUUUCUGUUUGCUUAUUCAUUCAUACAUUCGCUCCCCAUUCCACUCACUCACCCAUUCCACAAAAGCCUAUUUAGAACCCACUUUGGAUUUUACAAUGCAUUUGUUCUAAUAGUUGGCUGUUAUAGAGCAUCUACUAACGCCUGCUACUGCUGUAAACAAUUUAAUUACAUCACCUUCUUGAAUCGCCAUAAGGACCCCAGAAGGUGGGGAGGGUGGUCAUUUCUCCCUCUCUGCAUCAAUCCCUCUGCUUGCUUUUCUGUGUGCUUAUGUUUUCCCAGUCGUCCUAGUUUCUUUCACCUCCUAUUUCCUUUUGCUUUAUCUUCCCUGUAUCCUUAGCUGACCACAUUUUAAAAUGGUGGUUGUUAUAUUUUGAAUGCACAUUCUGUUAUCUUUUCUUCUUACAUUUAAAAUCCAGUCCCUGACUCUGGCUCCAGCAUCUGUUUGAGCCACACCCAUGUAGCUGUCUGUUCCAGCCUUGCUAGUUUUCUUCUUCUGCCUCUCAUGCUUGCCCCCAUCUCAGAGACUUUGCACAUUCUCUCUACUUCUUCCCAUCAUCAUUUUCCUGAAUCCUGUUUGCACUGUUGACCCUGUUUUAGUACAACCUUGUGAGCCAAGAACAUUUUUUUGUACUUUAAGGGUUUUUUUUUUUUUUAAGAAGAAAGAGGGGAAGAAGGAGGAAAAAAUGGGGAGGAAUACCAGUAGCAGUGGCAACAAAGACUGCAAGAUAAAUAAAGCUUAAAAUAAUUGCUAUUUGUUUCUUUACAGAAAACGUUUGCUGUCUCAGUGGAUGUCUCCAUCAUGAGACCGUGAGCUCCAUAUGGAGAGAUAUUUCUUGCUCACCAUUUUUUCCCAUGUGCCUAGUGCAAUGCCUAGAACAUAGCAAGUCCUGAGUGACCUGGUCAGAUGGCAGAAUGAAUGAAUGAAUGAAUGAAUGAAUGAAGAGUUCUCAUCUUCUCACCUUUAAAUCUCCCACUGCUUUGCUCUGAAGUCUAUUUGAUGUUCACAGCCACCUCUUAAGUGAUGGACUUCUUUCUCAUCUCUUACCCAGUGAUACUGCCUCUCAACUCAUGUCUGAUCCAUCCAAUAUCUCUCUCCAAAUUUUCCCUCAUCUGUGGCUUUUCUGGUCAAAAAACAAACAAACAAACAAAAAAACAGAAACAAAAUCGAAAAAUGUUUGUAAAAUGUGUUGUAAAUUCACAUUUUAAAAAAUCAACAAUAUGUUGUAAAAUGUAAACCUUAUCAUGCCUCAGUCCCUCUUAAAAUCUGUAGCUCUCAUCAUCUUCAGGGUCAAGUCCAAAUCCCGUAACAUGCACACAGGGAGGCUCACAGUCAGGUCCCACCAGUACCUCCAAUGGCUCUGCACCCUUGCUCCCCUUCUGCAGCACAUGGCUCCCAGCCCCUCAAACCCUUGCAGAUCCCAGGGUGUGCCUUCUUUCUCUCACUUCUGUGCAUCUCCAUGUUGUUCCUUCUGCUUGUCCUUCUGGUGAACUGCAGUGCACAAUGGCCUUCAGGACACAACUCCACUCUCACCUCCUCUGGGAAUCUUUCUCUGACUCCUCAGGCCAAGCUGAAUGUGCUUCCUUCCUGCCCAGACGCCUCCCUGAUUUACAUCUAUCCAAACACUGACAGUCCUGGGCUGUAAUUACUUGUUUGAGCAUUUCUCUCUCCCUUUAGUCUGGGAAUUUAUUGAGGACAGGACGAUGCCUAAAUUCGUCUUGUGUUCUUUGCACCCUUGAUGGUCUGCAGCCUACACUGAAUGCUCAGAAUUGCAGCUGACAAACUGAUUGGACAAAUGAAUGAAUGAAUGAUGACCAAAGUGGUUUCCCAUUAGCAAGGUAAGGAUGGAAUCACAGGUUAUUAUUAUUAUUAUUAUUAUUAUUAUUUUAAAUGUCUAAACUCAUUUAGUCUUUGCAACAUCAAAACACUGUUGGCAAUUUCCUUUACAACUCAUGGCUAAUUUACAGAAGGGAUUUUUAUAAAAAUGGUUUCCUUCAUUCCCAUGGAUGGUCAUGCUACCUGGGAGGCAGGUACUGAGGUAGCAGCCAUCCUGGUGGCUUUCAGAGGUCCUCAGCCUUCCUUUUGACUAGCUCCAAAGCACUAUGGGAGGCUUCAGGAGUGGAAACCUUGCUGACUCAGAUUUCAAAGUUUGCUGCAAGUAAAUUUCAAAGUUUUCAGUAAGGUGCAACCCUAUUUAUAUGGACAACCAGUAGGUAACCCUAAAAAAUUUAUCUCUUCCAGGGUGGUGCAAGCAUUGUGAGCUUGUUAUCCAUUCAUUUUUCUGUUUUAAUUUCUGGAACUAUUAUCAUGAUAUUGUUUGGCCAAGAAAUAAAAUCAAUAUUUAGCGGUCAGAGGCAUCUCUACUUGGAUGCCUAGGUUGGAAAUCAGUUGUGUGAGAAAGAAUAUUUUUCAGGCCAGUUUCUGAGAAGUUGGAGAUAUUGUUAAACACUUAAUGAACAUCUCUGGUUGUGGGGUAGUGUGCAUCAAACAGGUGCUACAAGUAGAGUGGUUGAGAGUUUUAGUGGUCUGAGUUAGAUGAGGGUUCACAUUUAGCCUGCUAGAAACCAACUGUGUUAUUUUGGACAAAUGAACAUGCUCUCCCUAGACCUUGGAUUCUUUGCUGAAAACUCAGUUGUGGCAAAUGUUUAAUGAGAUAAUGCAUACACUAUGCCCUGCACAGUGCCUGGCAUGCAAUAAGUGCUCAGUUUCUAUCAGCUACUGUGGAAAGCAGGCUGGUCUGAAGCAGGAUCAUUAACUUGAAGUAUUAAUGAUCUGUUAUCACUCAUAUCUUUAUUGUCCUUUUUGUACUUUCUAAAUUUUCUGUAAUAAACAAAAAGUACUGUCACAAUCAGAAAAAAAAGUAAUAAAUUUGAUUUAUACUGUUAGGGUCUUCAAGGGCCCCCAGAUGAACUGAUAUCAUGCACACACACCUACUGCAAGGGUCUCAUGAACUCCCUCAAACUCUCAAAGUCAUCCAUGACUCAAGAAAAAUGUUCUCACUGAUGUAAAAAGAAGGCAGGAGAAGAAAUGCAUCUGGGCCAUAGAGGAGAGUUCUGUUACGGUGACAGUGCCUGCUGUCACCUCCAUAACUCACAAGGCACCUGGUCAGCUACGUUCUAUGAUCUGUUGGGAAUGCAGGACUAGAGUUCCUGAGAAAGGUCCCAGCUGGAGAACAUAGACUCGGGGCCCCAAGAGAAGAAGGAGGGAAUGUGGGAAUGGAGGUGCCAUCAAAGGAGAGAAUUUAGAAAAGAUAUGAAGGUCAGGAGGUUAGGAGAUUCUAGUUUUCAACCUCUCUGCACAGUCAAAAAUGCAUCCCCAAAGGUCGGAAGUGACAGCAGGCACUGUAAUGGACCACACACACUGAGUUUUCAGGAGACUAACCAACCCUUCACGUGGUCUUCCGACAGCUGUCAUUCAAGGCGAUUAUAAAUCCCCUCCUGCCACAUCCACCCGGCUGUCUUCCUCACUGUUCCUUCCUUGGGGUCAGAGGUCAUGCAGCAAAGUGGGUUUCCCUGUAACCACAAUGCAGCUCCCCUAACCUUUUUGGGGCAGAUCCAACUGCAUUUUGAAGAAAUAUUUUGCUAACGAAAAAUGACCAGGAUUCUAAAAUUUGCCUUCUUUGGCAUUUUUAUAAAUCAAAUUUAUUACUUCUUUUUCUGAUUAUGAGACUACUUUUUGUUUAUUACAGAAAAUUUAGAAAGUACAAAAAGGACAAUAAAGAUAUGAGUGAUGAUAACUCAGAAACAGUGGUUGCCCAUAGUGUUUUCUUUCAAGUUAUUUAUUGGAAUGCAUACAAAACAUAUUUACACAAAUAUGCAAAUGUCUACUUAAAAAUAUUUUUAAGAGAGCUGAGAUCAAAUUGAGUGUACCAUUUAUAUCCCACUUCUAUAUGGCAUUUUAUAUCCUACUUUCUACUUCAUGAUAUACCAAUCCAUACCUUUCUGAGUCAUUAACUACUCUUUGAAAGCAUGUCUUUAUUGGACACACAAAAUUUAAUCACGUGAUUAUAAAAAUAAUGUAUUUGAUUAUUUUGCUUAUUUGGGGCCAUUGAGAUCCUUUCCAGUUUUUCAGUAAUACACCAACUGCUUUGAUCCAUAUCCAUACACACGGUUGCUGAAUAUCUGAUCAUUUCCCUAAGAUAAAUAUGAAAACUUUGGGCUGCUAAGCAAAAAGGUGUAAAUAUUUUAGGGAUUUGAUAUGACAAAGUUAUUUUAUAAAAAAGUGGCAUCUGUUUUCUACACUGUUGCUAAUGUAAUGUGAUGCACAGUUUUUAAAAAUCUACAUCAAUUUGAAAAACAGUAUCUCUCUUUUAAUAGCAUUUUAACAGCCAGCCUUGGAAUGUUUUCCCUUGACAUCUCUGAAUUCUUGUUCAAACCCAGGGGCAUCCCCCAAAAGUCUCCCAAGUAGCAAAUAAGGGACUAAUUAGGCAACUCUGUAGACAUAUCUACAUUUGUUUUUCUGGAAAGAUAACCAUAUGCGUGUUCACCUAGUUACAUAGUACAUAUGUCACAUAAAGAACAACAAACGCCAAAUCCAGUUCACUUCAAAAGAGAAGAUGAAGGGCAUCUUUUGAGAGUCCUGUUUAAAUCGUUAGUUAUAUAAAUUAACGACUCAGCCAUAAGCUAUGGUGCCUGGUCCACAGCCAAGAAUAGCAGAUCAUGUUUAGCUGAACCUCUUUCAAGAACAGAAGAUAGAAAGAAACCUAAAUUGACUGAGGGCAUACCAGAUUCUGUAUUGGGCUCCAUUGCAUACAUCCUUUCUUUAUGCCUCACAAAGUAUUCUUUCCUCUGGUUCUAUGCAUAGAGAAGUCAAUGUCAAAGCUAAGACUUGCCAGGGCCUGCAGCAAGGCCUCUAGGCCUUGCAGUAUGGAGACAGAAGAUUUGAACUCUGGUCAGCCUGCUCCAAGUCACUGUGUUUUGUCACCAAUUCCUCUAGAAGCUGUCCCUAAAACAGAUCUCUGCCCACAGCAGCCACCUGGACAGCACAUCCUUUUACUGACUUUUCCUUCUUGCUCUCUCAGAAUCGCCACUCCUUCCCUUCUACUUCCUUGGUUCAACCCCCAGAUAAACUACCUGAACAUACAUGCUUAUUGCAUACUUUCCUUUUGGGGUCUCCAAACUAAGACAUUUACUUAAAAUACCCACAGCUGCAGAAGGACCCAGUGGAGCAAGGCACUGUCCAGGUGCAGGCUUUCAUUUCCUUCUUAGAUCUUUAAGUUCCCCAGGGGCAAUUUCACUGUGUCCUGCUGGGCUAAACCUCUCCUGGGAGCUACACCUGACCCGGAGGUUUCACCUUCUUCACCUUCCUCACAGCUGGGCCUACGCAUGACCACGAGUGAGUCACAAGUGAAGAAUGGAGACAUUUCCCCUGGCUGCUGGGCUCUGGGUCCUCAAACCACACUUAUGUUUUUAUAUAUGUGUUGGGAUGAUUCAGCGGAAACUUCUGGUCAAACGGAUCACCAUAGCAACUUUCAGUAGACAUCCAGCAUGCAAAUUAGAGAGUGGAAAGAGACACUUUCUCAAUAGCCCCAAACCACCAUCCUCUGAACCCUUCAUGGAUUGAAUAGUAGAUACUUUGAAGGUUUAAACACAGUCAGCUUAAAUGCAGGGUCAACACCUGGCUGGGUCUGCUGGUAUCUUCAGAUGCUAAAACAAGAAGAACAAACUGGUUUCUACACUGAAUUGUGUGUCUAGCAGGGAAGACAUCCCAGCAGAGUUGGGGACAGAUUCACAUGUGCCCUGUGUCAUUCAUAAACCUCAAGAUCUUGGCCAAAUUAUGAGUUUGUAGAGUAAUUUGGCCAUAUUUGUGGCCAAAUUACUCUAACACUCUCCAAUUUGUAUGCUUUCUUUCGCAAAACUCAGCAACCUGCAUUUUCUGCUUAUUUACCCCAUGCCUGCAAUUGUCUUGCUUUUGAUUGCACAGUUCCUAGCUUGGAACGUUCUUGUUUCUCUAAGAUCUAGGGCUUUACAAAGCUCCAGGCUUUGCAGACUUUCCUUUUGGGGGCUCCAAUCUUAAAAUACCUGCAGCUAAACUUCUUUAAAAUGUCUUUAGGGAUAUGGUGUGUCUGAAAUAGUGAUUAGAAAGUGUUUCGCAUAUGUUAGUCUCUCAAUAAAUGGUAGUUACUGCUAAUAUUUUCUUUGGAACUUCUGAAGCCUAUUUUUUUCCUUUGGGCCUCAGUCUUUUAUUGAAUGUCAGUUGUAUGAAAAAUGUGAUGUGGAUAUCCAGGGAUACAAAUACCAACAUGGCGUCUGCUCUGAAGGAGCUCCAGGAGUGACUGAGAAGGAUGGAAAGCAGUUAUGGGUCUUAGGCAUUACUGGGGUAACUUGUGUUCAAAUUAAUCUUAAUGGAGGCCUCUCACUUAAAAGAACAGUCUAUGAUACACAGACUUCAACUUACAAAGCAAAUGGAGUGUUGGGGAAGAUGAAGUUAUUUCAACAUCUUAUUCACUGUGUUGGAUAAGAACACCUAUGGCUACAAGCAAUAAUCAAUUAACAGUGGCUUAGAAAAAUAAAGAUUAAUGCUCCCCCUCUCUAGCACGCGCACACACACACACAUGUGUAAAAGUACUUGGCUGCUUGUGUUAGUUCAUUGGGUUAAUAAUGUCAAAGCUAGCAUCUAAGCAAUUGUUAUAUCUUUUCCUUCUUGCUUAUCACCUUACCUUCCCAGGGUGGCUGUUGAAGUUCCAGCCAUCGUGUCUGCAUUCCAGGUAGUAGUAGAAAAAAAAGAGCAGAAAUUGAUGGUAGCAUUGAGCUGCUUGCAUUUUAUUGGUGAGAACUGAGUCACAUGACUAUUCCUGGCUAUAGUAGAAUCUGGAAAAGGAAUUGUUUUUUGGUGGAAACGCUUUGCCUACAUCAUAAGCUCCCAAAUGCAUGGACCUGGAGUAGAUCCUAUGGAUGAACAGAGAACUAGGCACAAGCCAUUCCUGACCUAAGGAACUCCUAGUCUAGCUGAGGAGGCUGGAUGCCAAUCAAACAAGAGCACAUGCCUUGAUUUAGAGCAUGGCAAGUUUCAAAUUGUCUCCAUCUGUCCUUCAAAUCCUUGGACAGCCUGAUGAGAAACCAGGCUUGGGCUGUCAGUUUGACUUGACCAGUGACCCCUAGGAGGAAGCACGUGUGUGACCCAAAUUGAAAGGGUAGGAAAGGAGCUAUACCAGGUUUUGCCUGUAGGCCUCCUGUCUCUUAGUCCUGCGCUCCACCCUUUUGCACAGCUCAGCUCUGAUGCAGGGGUUCAAGGGAAGUGGGUUGGGUAUGGAGGGAAGCAAGGCCCUGAUAGAGUGUUUAUGACCCUGGCUUUGUCUCUCCCAGGAAGAGUAGAAAGAUCAUUCACGUUCUUCGGUACAUGGGGUCCGAGGAGAGACAUGAAGAACAACAAAGAGCGUCUACUCCAUUUGGACCUCCAGGGCGCCCAAGGAGAACCAACUCCCUUGUGAUUCUAUUUGGUCGACACAUUUUGUAUCAUUUGUGUCCUGGCAGGAAGGUGUUCCCCCGGGUAAUAUGAGGAACAUUUUGAUCACGGGGAUGUUGACAAAGAGUAGCCUCAAGUAUAAGAAAAUCCUAAGGGAAAGUGUGAUUUUCUGGUGCUACCAUUUUCAGAGCACCUGAACCACCUCCUGCUGCUGGGGGAGGUAAGGAAAGGGAGGGAGUCCGAAAUUCAGAGAGAAAAUGAGAGGAGAGGAAUUGAGAGAGAGUGAGCAAGAAAGAGAGAGAAUGAGAGAGAGAAAGAGAAUGCUGGCUAAGUUGACAGUGCAGCCCACCCUGGUUUCUGAUCGCCUUCCAAUGUCUCUUGUAGGUCGGACCCAAAUGGAAACCUGGCCAAAGGGCCUGGGGAGGCCACUGAUCACAAAGAUGUGCCUCCCGGAGCACAGUGCUGGGUGGAGAAAGGCAGAGGAUAGAUCUGGAGAGAGGGACAAACAAAAGACAUUCAACACAAAUUUGCAUGAGAGCAAAGAGGUUGUUAACACACCCUUAGUCCUUUACCUCGUUACAAUAUCCCCAACAGUGAGUGUUCCAGAAGCUACCACAGAGCACUUGAAAGUGGGACUUAGGACAAAGCCCUUUUGCCAUGGGGUGCUCUGCUUUUGAAUGAGGCCUCUGAUUGCCACCGUCCUCCUCAUCCAGCCCAAGGUCUCCACUCUAGGACAAAAGGUAAGAAAUGCACUAUGGUGUAGUUCUCCUUUAAUAUCCUCCAGAUAGUUAUGCUUUGGUGAUAGACACUCAGGGCCAGUUUUGUCGCUGUAUUCUUUUCAUCAAUCAAUGAUAUACUUGAAAUUGUAAGAACAUGCAUUUCGCUAAGUGACUUGGGUUGAAUGAAGGGACACUUUUUAUACAUUUUUGGGAAACUUGUUCAAGUCUUUCAUUGUAGUGCAGCAAAGAACCACAUGAUUUGCAGAGUCAGCAGAUGUUUAAAACAAAACAUCUACAAGAGGAAGGAGAAAAUAUAUAUGCAUAUCAAUUAUAUAUAUGUAUCAUGUAUAUUGAUACACAUGUGUGUAUUCAUUUACUGACUUGCCCUAAUUGACCAACUCAGUCAAAACAGAGGUUACAGUAGCCACAUCCACGGGGUUAAUUUGUUUUUCACAAUACCGGUGAAAAGUGAUGUCAGAAGCUUCUGUGCCAUUCUCCGGAGCUGCGCCUGCCCUAAGGACUAGGUGUAGGUUUUUGCUGCUUGGGAAAUAGGUUGUUAGGAGUGGUCAGGCGCACUCCCAGAGACACUUCAGGCUCCACUUUUCAGAGGAUCACUGUUAAUUCCGACACCAAGUUUCAGGUUUGGCAAGAGGCACAUAAAAAUAUUCUCAAGGUAUAAUAAUAGAAAAAAAAUCCAAGCUUCAAGGAGGAUCAGCUUUGCCUCUCCCAACUUGCCUCUGCAGACAUAAAAAGGGUGGGACUUUUUGGGAGAAGGCGUUGUCUCUGGCAAGAGACACAAGGCACCAGAUAGCAUCAUUUGAGAUAUUAACACAGUGGUAGAGGGAGAGAGAGAAAGAGACCAGUUUAUGAGGAGAGGUUUCCAGUAUGGCACACACCAGUGAAUUGAGACGACAUUCUACAGGAGCAAGUUCAUUUAUCUCAUAAGCAUUCACUGGGCACCUUCUGCGUGUCAAGCUCCGCGUGGCAUACCAUUUCCUGCCCUCCAGGAGGUGUUAAACAGAUGGACAGACAGACACCAGCAAAUCAGAGAUCCCAGUGUGAGUCAUCAUGUAGCCUGUGAUACAGGGAAGUGCAGGACGCCCCAGAAUUGGUGCCAGGUUGCAUCACAGGCAGAAAGAUCUGGGCUUCAGAUAUCAGCAAAGCAUUUCUCCCUCCCCCAACUCCAAAUAGCUCUGUUGACAGCAACUUAAAACACAAAUCAAAGUCAUUAUCGUGGGAAAAGCUGAACUUCACUGGAUUUUGUUUACUUCUCUUAAGUCUGAUAUUGUUUCUAUUUUUAAUUACAUGGAGGGUGACCAUCUUUCAUCUUCCAGUUCUCAGAGUCUCUAAAAGGCUGAAUCCACCCACACUUGGAAGCACAGAAUCCCCUCUCCGUCCGAACCUGGGGUUUUGGGGAAGAUACUAGAGAGCGGGUGAUACCUGAAAUGUAUCAUGCUCUAAAACAAGACAGACAGGGUAUGCUGAGGGGAAGGAACAGUGAUAGAGAUGCCUGGAUAUUAGCAUCCUUGACUGACAAUCCUAGGGUUUCCAAGCCCCCUCUUCCCAUUUCACAUCCAAGUGUCCUUUGGGAUAGGAAACAGGAGGUGACAGCUGUGGGUCAGUAGUGUUUCAGUUAGAUGGCACUGUCUAGCCCUCAGCUUAAAGUCUGGCCUGGAGUGAGGGCUCUGGAAAUGUACGAUUAUUGUUGCUGUGGCCAUUCAUCUUCUUAUUGAUACUUAUCUCUUGGAAUAGAGAGCAUCAACAUUCCUGCUCCACAUUUUAAGAGGCUGCGUGGUGCCGUCAGGAUUCCACGCUCACACACAGAUUCACUCACUGAGCAUUCACGCAAUGAAAACUCCUUCCAUGGUGCUGGGUCUUGGAGCAGAGCCAUGCUCUGGGUCUCACCUGGACUUCAGCCUUCUCCCUCCAGAGGAAGGCACUUAGGCAGAAGAGUCUGGGGGUUACUUCCAACAUGGGACAAGACCUCGGAGAAUGAAGAUGCACAGGAGAAUUUCACCAGCGACCCAGAACUCACACAGUGAAGGAAUCCCACGGUUGUCUAGCUACCUCACAAUAAAAAUGCCCUCCACAAACUCUCCCAAAUGAAUCUUAUCCUGAAACCAGCACAUCAUUUUUUGCUGUUUGCAAACUUGCUUUCAGGCACAUUACUGACAGAACACUAGCAAAUGCCGAGGAGUCAGACGGGGAAGUAACAUUUAUGGCAUGUCUGUUAUGUGCCAAACCCUGGCAUUUCAUAUACAUGAUCACCCUUCAUCUUUAAAACUCUAGGUGUUAGGUGGAAUUGCCUCCUCAAAUUAUAGAUGAAAAACUGAUACCCAGAGAGGUUAAUUCAUUUCCCGGACAUCACAGAGCACACAAGAGCCUUGUUAGAACUUAGCUCUGCCCUGCAUUAUUUGGAGCUUUUCUUCUUCUCCUAUGUGAUGCAAAAUUGGACCAGGAAAAUUGCCCUGGACUUCUGCCAAUGGACCUCUAAGAAACCACACAGGAAAUAGGAUAUAUGCUACCUCCAUAAACUAGCUGCUUUCCAUGGGUUUUUAAUGGCAUCUAUGUUAUUAUCGGGAGAAUUCCAAGUAUACUUUUAACCAGAUAGACCUCAGACUUUAACCUAGCGGGUCUGGAGAUUGUAGCAAGACCUUAGGUUGGCUGGGCCAGGGGAGGUGAUAACACCAGGUAGGUGGAUGAUGCCAGAAGAAAGCCAAGUAAAUAUUUGCUAAGGCAAGUACUAUAUGGGGGUGACUUAGAAGGUUCUAGUGGUCCUGGAGCAGUGGACUAUAUGACCAGUACAUCAUUAACCAUUUCUGGAUACCACAGAUCCAACCAGAUCGCCUCGGAAGGAAACCAGCCUGUGUUCAGAGUAAACAGUUAACUCUUCUGGGCUGGAAGAAAUGAUUAUUCAAAAGUUGGUCCCCACAUACAAAUGCAAAUGACAUCCUGAGACACAUGAAUGCUAAUUUCUCCAACGAAGUCUGUAGACAAAUGCUAGUCAUUAGAAACAUUUCCGUGCAUUUAUAUUAGGCUGUCCUCUAAAAGACUUUUUAGACAAAUAUGUCAUCAAGAUAUUCAAAACCAUGUAAUCUUAUCCAAAGUUUCAUCUAUCAACAGUACAGUCUUCGUCUCUUGCAGCUGUGUGUCAGAAUGCGCGGGGAGAUUACUCAGCUGAUGUGGCUGAGCCGGGGAGGGGCCGUAGAUUUGGGGGUCCACAUAGCUCCCCAGCAGGAGGGUCUGGGUUUCCAGGUGGGCCAGGCCUUUUAGCCACAGGUGAGUGAUCUGAGGUGGGUGAAGGAUGACCCCUAACAGAUAAAGAGAAGGAUUCAGGGGGAGGCUCCUUCUCGUGGGCACUCUCCACCAGGCUGCCCUUGCCUAUGAGUGCUACUGAGAUGACAGACUAAAUAAAGGCAGAGUAGCUGGGAGUUCCAGAUCUUGUCUUCACCACCUUCUGCAAGGCAAAACCUCAGGCUUGUAGACCGCUCCCAGGGAGGCUGAAGGUGAGGGGAGAUGGUUAGACUGAAAUGACAGCACUUUCAAGCACUCGAUGGGAAGGCUGGGCUUUAGGUCAUGUCUCUGUGUUUGUGCCUGUUUACUUCUCUCUCCUCUUCCCUUCUCUUCUGCCCUCUCCUCCCCUCUUCUGCUGUCUCCUCCCACCCUCUUCCCUUUCUUCCUCUUCCCUUUCCUCCCAUCCUUCCUCUCUUCUUUUCGGGAAAGGGUGUUUGUUAAAACAGGUGCUCAGAGGAAGCCUUUGUGAUAUCCCUGGGGAUUCAGAUAUUACUCUUAUUUGGUUGUUUCCUGAGGUUGGGUCACUUUAUUUAGUGUGUGAAUGGAUGGUGGCUUUUGGUACUGAAGCAAUAACAUUUUUCUUGAUGAAUUAUGUGAUAAUAUAAACCCCUCAAAUAAUUUAUUUAUCUGUUAAUCCACUCAUUCAUCAACAUGAAUAUUCAUCUACUUAUUUGAACAUUUAUCCAUCCAUCCAUCCAUUUAUCCUCUACCUAUCGAUAACAAUGUCUGAAGAAUGCAAGAGUGUAUGGCAUUACUAUUAUCCCAUUUUGUGGUUGAGGCAUAGAGAGGUUAAAAUAUUGGACCAAGACCGCCCAGCUAAUAAGGGAUGGUGCUGAGACUGACUCAUCUGUUCUCUGGUUCACUGCAUUUAAUCCAUUAACAACCAUUUCGUGAAUGUCUGCCUUACAUCAGUUAUGAUGGGAGGGUAAAAUUUUCUCAGACUUGUCCCUGCCCUUGAGGAGUUCACAGUCAUGAAUCAGAGCCAAAUAUCAUGACUCUGGCUAUGAGACUGGCAAUGAGCUGCAUGUCCUGUAAAGGUGUGGCCCAAAUGCAAUGGCAGCUGUAAGCUGUUGCAAAAAUCCACCAGCUGAGGUGCCUGGAGUGGAAGUGACAUUGUCAGGGGUGGCCAAGUGUCAUGGUUCUCACCAUCCAACUUCCAUGGAAACACCAUCCCAAGGGUACCUUCUGUUUACAAACGCAUGGCCUGUGAAUCUCAUCCUAACAGCUGCUCCUUUGCAAGGGGAUUCAGGAAAGGACAGGCCUGGAUGAGGCCCAGCUCCUCUGUAGAUGGGCAUUGUAUAGCUACACUGUUCUCCAGAUAGCACUUCUUAGAGCUGAGGAUAUAAUCUGUGACUCUUGGCUCAUGCCUGCCAAGGGCACGGAUAUGUCUAGAAAGCAUCAGUAAAUUGUGGAAGGCAUCCUGAGUGGAGGAAACAGUUUCUAUGAAGACACACGGGCUUGAGUGAUGAUGGCAUGAUAGAGUAAGCUGGUUUCUGUUAUUGACACACAGGUAACAUAU
This is a long non-coding RNA of Cercocebus atys (sooty mangabey), 16788 nucleotides long. RefSeq lists it as uncharacterized. The transcript has 6 exons. Lineage: Eukaryota; Metazoa; Chordata; Mammalia; Primates; Cercopithecidae. The record is from RefSeq and is a predicted model, not a curated record.